CCUACGGGAGGCAGCAGUGAGGAAUAUUGGUCAAUGGGCGCAAGUCUGAACCAGCCAAGCCGCGUGAAGGAAGACGGCCCUACGAGUUGUAAACUGCUUUUGUAAGAGGGUAAAGGCAGAUACGCGUGCCUGUCUGAAAGUACCUUACGAAUAAGGAUCGGCUAACUCCGUGCCAGCAGCCGCGGUAAUACGGAGGAUGCGAGCGUUAUCCGGAUUUAUUGGGUUUAAAGGGUGCGUAGGCGGUCGGAUAAGUUAGUGGUGAAAACCCGAGGCUCAACUUCGGAAUGGCCUCUGAUACUGGUCGUCUAGAGAGUAGUUGCGGUAGGCGGAAUGUGUGGUGUAGCGGUGAAAUGCUUAGAGAUCAUACAGAACCCCGAUUGCGAAGGCAGCUUACCAAGCUACUUCUGACGUUGAGGCACGAAAGCGUGGGGAUCAAACAGGAUUAGAUACCCGUGUAGUC
RNAcentral lists this ribosomal RNA (460 nucleotides) under uncultured bacterium. RNAcentral's name for it is "partial 16S ribosomal RNA". It matches the Rfam family "Bacterial small subunit ribosomal RNA", at positions 338 to 795 of the family's 1533-position model. The record is from RNAcentral.